Molecule: unclassified non-coding RNA, 391 nt
Filed under: soil metagenome
Description: partial contains 5.8S ribosomal RNA, internal transcribed spacer 2, and large subunit ribosomal RNA
Rfam family: 5.8S ribosomal RNA (bases 1-122)
Source: RNAcentral
GAUGAAGAACGUAGCGAAAUGCGAUACUUGGUGUGAAUUGCAGAAUCCCGUGAACCAUCGAGUCUUUGAACGCAAGUUGCGCCCGAAGCCAUUAGGCCGAGGGCACGCCUGCCUGGGCGUCACACGUCGUUGCCCCCCCAUCUACUCCUUAGGGAUUGCGAGGGGCGGAUGAUGGCCUCCCGUGCGCCUCGUCGCGCGGUUGGCAUAAAUGCCAAGUCCUCGGCGACGCACGCCACGACAAUCGGUGGUUGCGAAACCUCGGUUGCCCGUCGUGUGCGGUCGUCGCGCAUCGAGGGCUCGAAAAAAUUGCCGGGCUCCGGCUCGGCUUUCAACGCGACCCCAGGUCAGGCGGGGUUACCCGCUGAAUUUAAGCAUAUCAAUAAGCGGAGGA